UACGUAGGGGGCGAGCGUUGUCCGGAUUUAUUGGGCGUAAAGGGCGUGUAGGCGGCUCUCUAAGUCGGAGGUGAAAACCUGCAGCUCAACUGCGGGACUGCCUCCGAUACUGAGGAGCUUGAGUGCUCUAGAGGGCAGUGGAAUUCCCGGUGUAGCAGUGAAAUGCGUAGAGAUCGGGAGGAACACCAGUGGCGAAGGCGACUGCCUGGGGAGUAACUGACGCUGAGGCGCGAAAGCUGGGGGAGCAAACGGG
Molecule: ribosomal RNA, 253 nt
Filed under: uncultured bacterium
Lineage: Bacteria
Description: partial 16S ribosomal RNA
Rfam family: Bacterial small subunit ribosomal RNA
Source: RNAcentral